AUAUAUUGUUUUAGUAAGUACACUGCAAAAUCUAAUAUUGUGUUUAAUUAAAAAUAUUAAGUAGGCUGAACUUAAUUUUCAUCAAUUUGUUAUUAGAACUCGAUUUAAAUAAGUUACCAGUACUUUUUAUGCAAAAACGCUGAUAAACUCAAUUUAUUUGAGUUUGUGUCAGGUUUUGAACAUCUGUGGGAUCUAUUAAUGUCAAAUCUAGCCUUUCUUUAACAACAUAAGCAAACUGCUUUUAUAUUUAACCCACUUUUCUGUUUUAUUACAUUUUAAAUAAUACUAAUAAUAAUAACAAUAGUAUUUAUUUUGUUAAAAAAUGUGUUUAAAAACAAGUUUUGUUGUGAAAGCUAUAAUCCAGAUUAGUGGCCUGUUAAAUGGUUAAAGUCUAGGUUGGCUUUAUACUUGAGAAUAAAGUAAUAUAGCUUGUCCUUCUAAAGAAUUAAGUUAAAUUCCACAGUUGAAUCAUAAGAAACAUUAUGUUACAUAUAAACUCUGCCAUAUGUUAGAACUGGUCAUUUUGCUUAUUAGAAACUUUAUAUAUUGGAAGUUAACUUUUAACAAGCAUGUAAUGAUUAUAUUUAAAUUAGGUGGUCUUUUUUCAAACACAUAUCUCUUUAGGCCUAAACUGACAGUGCCAAUACCACACAUUCAGACACAGUAGUAGAUGUGUUAGUCUAAUUUGGUUGUAUGGGGUCUACAUUGACCUUCUGUGUUGUAAGUUACAAUGAUUGCACAGCCAUUAAGGAUCAAAUCAGCUUCUAAAAAAUGUUCUGUUUUUUCUCCCUCUGCUUGCUUCUUACUGUCUUUGAGGCUCGGGACCAGCACUCCUGCUGUUGGACAUAAAGACAUCAACUCAGUGACUUGAGAUAUGACUGCACUAUGCUGUUGCUGUUGACUCCAGUUAAUUCUACAAGACAUGCUGUGACACCAGGAGAGAUGAGUCCUCCGUCACAGAUGGUGUGGUCAGUGAAGAUGGUUGCCUGCAGGUUCAAGCUCAUUGCAUCUCCAACCCACAUCCAC
Molecule: long non-coding RNA, 1026 nt
Organism: Oreochromis aureus
Lineage: Eukaryota; Metazoa; Chordata; Actinopteri; Cichliformes; Cichlidae
Source: Ensembl